Molecule: unclassified non-coding RNA, 343 nt
Filed under: soil metagenome
Description: partial contains 5.8S ribosomal RNA, internal transcribed spacer 2, and large subunit ribosomal RNA
Rfam family: 5.8S ribosomal RNA (bases 1-120)
Source: RNAcentral
GAUGAAGAACGUAGCGAAAUGCGAUAAGUAAUGUGAAUUGCAGAAUUCAGUGAAUCAUCGAAUCUUUGAACGCACAUUGCGCCCGCCAGUAUUCUGGCGGGCAUGCCUGUUCGAGCGUCAUUUCAACCCUCAGGGCCCUUUUGGACCUGGCGUUGGGGCUCGGCCGCUACCCUGCGGCCGUCCCCGAAAGAUAGUGGCGGUCUCGCUGUAGCCUCCUCUGCGUAGUAGUUACAUCUCGCACUGGAACGCGGCGCGGCCAUGCCGUUAAACACCCCACUUCUCAAGGUUGACCUCGGAUCAGGUAGGAAUACCCGCUGAACUUAAGCAUAUCAAUAGCGGAGGA